This 283-nucleotide ribosomal RNA is filed under the name uncultured bacterium. Its description in RNAcentral is "partial 16S ribosomal RNA". It matches the Rfam family "Bacterial small subunit ribosomal RNA", at positions 335 to 635 of the family's 1533-position model. The record is from RNAcentral.
GAGCCUACGGGGGGCAGCAGUGGGGGAUAUUGCACAAUGGGGGGAACCCUGAUGCAGCGACGCCGCGUGGGCGAUGGAGCGCCUCGGCGCGUAAAGCCCUAUCAGCAGGGAAGAAGAUGACGGUACCUGACUAAGAAGCCCCGGCUAAAUACGUGCCAGCAGCCGCGGUAAUACGUAUGGGGCAAGCGUUAUCCGGAUUUACUGGGUGUAAAGGGAGCGUAGACGGCAGGGCAAGUCUGGAGUGAAAGGCAGGGGCCCAACCCUUGGACUGCACUAGAAACUG